GCUCGGUUCUGCUCUGAAGUCCGAUCUGUGUACUGAAUUACAUCACUGUUGAUCGCCAGUAAAGGAAUCGAGCAGAAUAUGGACACAUCAUGGAACCGAUGUAAAGCAUGUUCGAGUACAGAACUGGUUUAGUCAGCUAUUUCAAGAAUGAAGAUAUGAAGAUGAGGAGAACGGAAGACGAAGAGAACCUGCUAGAACCACAAGUCAGGACUGUACGUCACUGGACAAUUCUGUCCGUUCUACGUUUGGCAGACGAGCCUAAAUACGGUCCGCUCCGAAAGUAGCGAUACAGCCAAGCCAAUUCGAACGUGUUUUCGCAAUACGUUAAAAAAAACAUACAUGCCUUUGAGAUCCAAACAUGGACGUGGAAUCGGCGAGAAAUACGGAGAUGGGCCGCAGAAAGGUCUGGAACCUUUCUGGAACCAAAGUGACGGAAGGGCCAAAGCACGGAGAAAGGUGGAGGUAGUGUUGUGGCUUGGGCUCGCUCAUCUUUAUGGAAGAUGAUGGAACUCAUGAUGGUAGCAGCUGAACGAAUUCAGAAGUUUACAGAAACAUCGUCCGGUUAAAACAAGGUUUUGAUCUGGCCAAGUCAAUCACCAGACCUUAACCCGAUUGAGCAGCAUUUCACCUUCUGAAGAGGAGACUGAAGGAAGAGACCCCCUGAAACAAGCAACAAGCUGAGACAGGCUGUGGUUCAAGCCUGGAAAAGCAACACAAAAGCAGAACGCAACAGUUUGGCAGUUUGGUGGUGUCAGUGAGUCACCCGCUUGACAGUGAGCGAUAUGCAAACCAAAUAUUAAGUGUUAUUUACUCUAGUUCACUUUAAACCGAUCAGUUCCUAAAAACUGGGUGGUCUGACACGACAGGUGCCAUCUUCGCAGUUGUUUAACAAGAUUUAAAUACGAGGAAACAAACGCUGAGAUCCUAAACUCUCGGCUCAUGUCCAUCUUUUGAUCCCAAACCCAAAUGUCUAUGGUGCAUAACAAGAAAGAAAAAAAGAAUUGGCCUUGCUGUUCCAAUACUUUUGAAGGACACUGUAGAUCCAGUCAUCUACAAUCAAACAAAGCUGUCGUUUAAAUGAUGCAGACUGAACCAAAUGGUUAAAAAUCCAGGCCUGCGUGUGCACGGUAUACAAAAUAAUAGCUGACUCGACACCAACAAGUGUCGUUAAUGUGUUACUACCUUCUAGUUACUAAUCUGCGUGCCAGAAAUACGCCUCAAAUAUACUUCAACCGGGAAGGAAGCUACUGAAGGAAAACCAUUUUAGACAUUCGACCUUGCUGUGACCUUGACGCUGUUUGGAUCGCUUCCAAAACCUAAUCGGACCAUCUGCUGCCUACAGUAAUAACAUUCGAGUCCAACAAACCUUCAACCACUCCUUCUUGAGAUCUCGUACGGAUGAACGACCCGGAUAACACGACGCCUCGUCCGGUCGGUGGUGAAGUCGUAACACGCUCUGCGAGGUGCACAAACCAUCAUUCAAUCAAGUGUCUCAAAGCUCUGAAGUGCUGCUCAGGCUCGUGCUUUGCUUUAAAUCUACUCGACCCGGCUACAAAGUAGAAGCUGAUAACGUUCACGUGAUGGCGUUACGGCCGUGAGCUACGCGAGUGUAUCGAGACGGAAACGGAAAGAGAAAAAACAACGGAGGGGUACGUGAAAUUCCUCAACUCCUUAUCGUCUUCUAAAAAAGCUUCGGAUCUAGGACAUUGCGUUUGGACAAGGGAACCUUUUGUGUCUUUCUCUCCUCACGACACAAGGAAGAUAUAUAACUGGAGUCUGGCUGGCGUCUCUGGAUAGGUUUAACUGUGAGGUGACUGCGUGAAGUAAGCAUGAGAGUGAUAUAACGGUUCUUUGCUGUGGGCUAUAUUUAGGUUGAUCCUGUUUCUGAAAAUAUCGUCUGUUAUUAGUGCAUGCUGGAUCGCACCGCAGGGGUGUAACGAUCUGACGAUUUGGAUCAAAAGCACUGAUUUUAAAAAGGGCGACGAUACAAAGCGCAUGCCGGAAUUAUACGUUGAUUAAAUAAGGACGGACAACUGGGAUGUGAAAAGUAAUUCUUAUUUUUACGUAAAUAAUAGAACGCGCUAGCAAGGUACCUACCAAAAAAAGAACAAAGAAAGAGGCCUUUUUCCCGUAAAAUCAACGGUAGGCCAACCCCAGAUUCGGAACAAAGUUGGUCAAAUACAUUAUAUGCCCAAAAGUUUGUGGACACCUGACCAUCACAUCCACAUGCAGUUCUUCCCCAAAUGUAGAAGAGCGCAAUCGAAUAGAACAGUGGUUUUCAAAGUGGGGGCUCCCCAGCAGGGGGCGCCAGGGGGGCCUCAACAAUUUGGUGUGCCCAUCCCUCCCACUAGAAUGUUUUCUCUUUCUCACUCUCAGGCAACCACACACACACACACACAAUCAAUUCCUA
Ictalurus punctatus (channel catfish) is the source of this 2410-nucleotide long non-coding RNA. Lineage: Eukaryota; Metazoa; Chordata; Actinopteri; Siluriformes; Ictaluridae. The record is from Ensembl.